This is a small nucleolar RNA of Ruditapes philippinarum (Manila clam), 70 nucleotides long. RefSeq annotates it as small nucleolar RNA SNORD61. The record is from RefSeq and is a predicted model, not a curated record. The transcript has a single exon. Lineage: Eukaryota; Metazoa; Mollusca; Bivalvia; Venerida; Veneridae.
AUUGGGAUGAAAACCUUUUGACUGAGAAAUUAUGUUGAAAUUCUUCAGUCCUCUAAGAAGUUCUGAAUAG